RNAcentral lists this ribosomal RNA (710 nucleotides) under Lactiplantibacillus plantarum. RNAcentral describes it as "bacterial SSU rRNA". It matches the Rfam family "Bacterial small subunit ribosomal RNA", at positions 65 to 762 of the family's 1533-position model. Lineage: Bacteria; Bacillati; Bacillota; Bacilli; Lactobacillales; Lactobacillaceae. The record is from RNAcentral.
UGCUUGCAUCAUGAUUUACAUUUGAGUGAGUGGCGAACUGGUGAGUAACACGUGGGAAACCUGCCCAGAAGCGGGGGAUAACACCUGGAAACAGAUGCUAAUACCGCAUAACAACUUGGACCGCAUGGUCCGAGUUUGAAAGAUGGCUUCGGCUAUCACUUUUGGAUGGUCCCGCGGCGUAUUAGCUAGAUGGUGAGGUAACGGCUCACCAUGGCAAUGAUACGUAGCCGACCUGAGAGGGUAAUCGGCCACAUUGGGACUGAGACACGGCCCAAACUCCUACGGGAGGCAGCAGUAGGGAAUCUUCCACAAUGGACGAAAGUCUGAUGGAGCAACGCCGCGUGAGUGAAGAAGGGUUUCGGCUCGUAAAACUCUGUUGUUAAAGAAGAACAUAUCUGAGAGUAACUGUUCAGGUAUUGACGGUAUUUAACCAGAAAGCCACGGCUAACUACGUGCCAGCAGCCGCGGUAAUACGUAGGUGGCAAGCGUUGUCCGGAUUUAUUGGGCGUAAAGCGAGCGCAGGCGGUUUUUUAAGUCUGAUGUGAAAGCCUUCGGCUCAACCGAAGAAGUGCAUCGGAAACUGGGAAACUUGAGUGCAGAAGAGGACAGUGGAACUCCAUGUGUAGCGGUGAAAUGCGUAGAUAUAUGGAAGAACACCAGUGGCGAAGGCGGCUGUCUGGUCUGUAACUGACGCUGAGGCUCGACAGUAU